GGCCACUGCUAUGGGGGUCCGACUAAGCCAUGCGAGUCAUGGGGCGCCUUGCGCGCACCGGCGGACGGCUCAGUAACACGUCGGUAACCUACCCUCGGGAGGGGGAUAACCCCGGGAAACUGGGGCUAAUCCCCCAUAGGCCUGAGGUACUGGAAGGUCCUCAGGCCGAAAGGGGCUUCGGCCCGCCCGAGGAUGGGCCGGCGGCCGAUUAGGUAGUUGGUGGGGUAACGGCCCACCAAGCCGAAGAUCGGUACGGGCCAUGAGAGUGGGAGCCCGGAGAUGGACACUGAGACACGGGUCCAGGCCCUACGGGGCGCAGCAGGCGCGAAACCUCCGCAAUGCGGGCAACCGCGACGGGGGGACCCCCAGUGCCGUGGCAUCGCCACGGCUUUUCCGGAGUGUAAAAAGCUCCGGGAAUAAGGGCUGGGCAAGGCCGGUGGCAGCCGCCGCGGUAAUACCGGCGGCCCGAGUGGUGGCCGCUAUUAUUGGGCCUAAAGCGUCCGUAGCCGGGCCUGUAAGUCCCUGGCGAAAUCCCACGGCUCAACCGUGGGGCUUGCUGGGGAUACUGCAGGCCUUGGGACCGGGAGAGGCCGGGGGUACCCCUGGGGUAGGGGUGAAAUCCUAUAAUCCCAGGGGGACCGCCAGUGGCGAAGGCGCCCGGCUGGAACGGAUCCGACGGUGAGGGACGAAGGCCAGGGGAGCGAACCGGAUUAGAUACCCGGGUAGUCCUGGCUGUAAAGGAUGCGGGCUAGGUGUCGGGCGAGCUUCGAGCUCGCCCGGUGCCGAAGGGAAGCCGUUAAGCCCGCCGCCUGGGGAGUACGGCCGCAAGGCUGAAACUUAAAGGAAUUGGCGGGGGAGCACUACAAGGGGUGGAGCGUGCGGUUUAAUUGGAUUCAACGCCGGGAACCUCACCGGGGGCGACGGCAGGAUGAAGGCCAGGCUGAAGGUCUUGCCGGACACGCCGAGAGGAGGUGCAUGGCCGCCGUCAGCUCGUACCGUGAGGCGUCCACUUAAGUGUGGUAACGAGCGAGACCCGCGCCCCCAGUUGCCAGUCCUCCCCGUUGGGGAGGAGGCACUCUGGGGGGACCGCCGGCGAUAAGCCGGAGGAAGGAGCGGGCGACGGUAGGU
Molecule: ribosomal RNA, 1128 nt
Filed under: Thermococcus sp. Tc-365-95
Lineage: Archaea; Methanobacteriati; Methanobacteriota; Thermococci; Thermococcales; Thermococcaceae
Also listed under: 1 other name
Description: bacterial SSU rRNA
Rfam family: Archaeal small subunit ribosomal RNA
Source: RNAcentral